RNAcentral lists this ribosomal RNA (1539 nucleotides) under Escherichia coli. Its description in RNAcentral is "partial 23S ribosomal RNA". It matches the Rfam family "Bacterial large subunit ribosomal RNA", at positions 165 to 1746 of the family's 2925-position model. Lineage: Bacteria; Pseudomonadati; Pseudomonadota; Gammaproteobacteria; Enterobacterales; Enterobacteriaceae. The record is from RNAcentral.
CAUAGGUUAAUGAGGCGAACCGGGGGAACUGAAACAUCUAAGUACCCCGAGGAAAAGAAAUCAACCGAGAUUCCCCCAGUAGCGGCGAGCGAACGGGGAGCAGCCCAGAGCCUGAAUCAGUGUGUGUGUUAGUGGAAGCGUCUGGAAAGGCGCGCGAUACAGGGUGACAGCCCCGUACACAAAAAUGCACAUGCUGUGAGCUCGAUGAGUAGGGCGGGACACGUGGUAUCCUGUCUGAAUAUGGGGGGACCAUCCUCCAAGGCUAAAUACUCCUGACUGACCGAUAGUGAACCAGUACCGUGAGGGAAAGGCGAAAAGAACCCCGGCGAGGGGAGUGAAAAAGAACCUGAAACCGUGUACGUACAAGCAGUGGGAGCACGCUUCGGCGUGUGACUGCGUACCUUUUGUAUAAUGGGUCAGCGACUUAUAUUCUGUAGCAAGGUUAACCGAAUAGGGGAGCCGAAGGGAAACCGAGUCUUAACUGGGCGUUAAGUUGCAGGGUAUAGACCCGAAACCCGGUGAUCUAGCCAUGGGCAGGUUGAAGGUUGGGUAACACUAACUGGAGGACCGAACCGACUAAUGUUGAAAAAUUAGCGGAUGACUUGUGGCUGGGGGUGAAAGGCCAAUCAAACCGGGAGAUAGCUGGUUCUCCCCGAAAGCUAUUUAGGUAGCGCCUCGUGAAUUCAUCUCCGGGGGUAGAGCACUGUUUCGGCAAGGGGGUCAUCCCGACUUACCAACCCGAUGCAAACUGCGAAUACCGGAGAAUGUUAUCACGGGAGACACACGGCGGGUGCUAACGUCCGUCGUGAAGAGGGAAACAACCCAGACCGCCAGCUAAGGUCCCAAAGUCAUGGUUAAGUGGGAAACGAUGUGGGAAGGCCCAGACAGCCAGGAUGUUGGCUUAGAAGCAGCCAUCAUUUAAAGAAAGCGUAAUAGCUCACUGGUCGAGUCGGCCUGCGCGGAAGAUGUAACGGGGCUAAACCAUGCACCGAAGCUGCGGCAGCGACACUGUGUGUUGUUGGGUAGGGGAGCGUUCUGUAAGCCUGUGAAGGUGUACUGUGAGGUAUGCUGGAGGUAUCAGAAGUGCGAAUGCUGACAUAAGUAACGAUAAAGCGGGUGAAAAGCCCGCUCGCCGGAAGACCAAGGGUUCCUGUCCAACGUUAAUCGGGGCAGGGUGAGUCGACCCCUAAGGCGAGGCCGAAAGGCGUAGUCGAUGGGAAACAGGUUAAUAUUCCUGUACUUGGUGUUACUGCGAAGGGGGGACGGAGAAGGCUAUGUUGGCCGGGCGACGGUUGUCCCGGUUUAAGCGUGUAGGCUGGUUUUCCAGGCAAAUCCGGAAAAUCAAGGCUGAGGCGUGAUGACGAGGCACUACGGUGCUGAAGCAACAAAUGCCCUGCUUCCAGGAAAAGCCUCUAAGCAUCAGGUAACAUCAAAUCGUACCCCAAACCGACACAGGUGGUCAGGUAGAGAAUACCAAGGCGCUUGAGAGAACUCGGGUGAAGGAACUAGGCAAAAUGGUGCCGUAACUUCGGGAGAAGG